This 2610-nucleotide ribosomal RNA is filed under the name Triticum aestivum (bread wheat). Its description in RNAcentral is "partial small subunit ribosomal RNA". Lineage: Eukaryota; Viridiplantae; Streptophyta; Magnoliopsida; Poales; Poaceae. The record is from RNAcentral.
AUGCCCACCAAGGUGGCUGCUUCAGAUGUCAUCAGAGUAAGCACCUCAAGUGCCCCCAGCACAUCGAGCCACGGUUCCGCACAAGAUGACUACGAAUCUUCAGGCGACGUGUAUGUGUGGGGUGAAGUUAUCUGUGAAAGCACUGCAAGAGCUGGCUCUGAUGCGGUAAUCAGGUCGGCUGUGAGGCAGGAUGUCCUGCUACCGAAGCCCUUGGAGUCCCAUUUAGUUCUUGAUGUGUAUCAUGUAGAUUGCGGGGUCAAGCAUGCUGCUUUGGUCACGAAGAACGGGGAAGUAUUCACAUGGGGUGAAGAGUCUGGAGGACGCCUUGGCCAUGGAUCACGAGAAGAUUAUGCUCGCCCAAACUUAGUCAAUUCAUUAGCGGUUUCCAACGUGGAUUUCGUUGCUUGUGGGGAGUUCCAUACCUGUGCUGUGACAACAGCUGGGGAACUGUAUACCUGGGGAGAUGGAACGCACAAUAUUGGGCUUUUGGGCCAUGGUACUGACAUAAGCCACUGGAUUCCUAAAAGGAUUUCAGGAGCACUGGACGGUCUGCAAGUUGCUUAUGUUUCUUGUGGAACCUGGCAUACAGCCUUGAUCACAACAAUCGGUCAGUUAUUUACCUUUGGUGAUGGUACUUUUGGAGUUUUAGGCCAUGGAAACCGAGAAAGUAUUUCAUGUCCGAGGGAGGUCGAGUCUUUAUCGGGGCUGAGAACAAUUGCUGUCGCCUGUGGUGUAUGGCACACUGCAGCUGUUGUAGAAGUUAUAGUGACCCAGUCGAGUUCAAGUUUAUCUUCUGGAAAGCUCUUCACAUGGGGAGAUGGUGACAAACAUCGACUUGGUCAUGGUGACAAGGAACCAAGAGUUAAGCCGACAUGUGUGGCUUCACUCAUUGAUUACGAUUUUCACAGGAUAGCAUGCGGUCAUGGCCUUACUGUGGGUCUGACAACAUCUGGACAGGUUUGGAGCAUGGGUAAUACUGUUUAUGGCCAGCUUGGAAAUCAUCGCUCAGAUGGUAAGCUCCCAUGUUUAGUCGAAGAGAUUAUGGGUGAACAGGUUGUUCAAGUUGCUUGUGGUUCCUACCAUGUUGCAGUUUUAACAGUUAAGAGUGAGGUGUUUACAUGGGGAAAAGGAGCCAAUGGAAGGUUGGGCCAUGGAGAUAUAGACGACAGGAAAAUACCUACGCUGGUUGAAGCCUUACGAGACAGAGGUGUUCGGCACAUUUCCUGUGGUGCGAACUUCACAGCGGCCAUAUGCCAACAUAAGUUGAUGCCAGGAGCGGAGCAGUCACAAUGCACCUCAUGUAGGCAACCAUUUGGGUUUACCCGGAAGAGGCAUAAUUGCCAUAAUUGCGGACAUGUCCAUUGCAAUGCGUGCACUUCGCGAAAGGUGUUGAGGGCAGCGUUGGCUCCCAAUCCUGGAAAGCCUUACCGUGUUUGUGAUUCUUGUUUUCUGAAACUGAACAAUGCCAUUGACUCCAGUGCAAUCAAUAAGAGGAAAGAUACCGUGCCUCGCUACUCAGGUGAAAGCAAUUCUGAUAGUACUAAAUUAGCUAAAGCAAUUAUCCCUAGUAAUUUGGAUAUGAUUAGAAGUUUGGAUAGCAAGGCAGCAAAACAAGGGAAGAAAACAGACGCUCUUUCAUUUCUUCGGUCUCCUCAAAUGAGUUCACUUCUUCAGUUGAGGGAUAUUGCUUUAUCUGGUGGGCCUGAUCUGAGCAGACCAGUUCCAAGACCAACUCGCACACCAGCAGUUCGAUCGGUAAAUACUUCCAGGGCUGUCUCCCCUUUCUCUCGUAAGCCUAGUCCACCACGUUCUACCACACCAGUUCCGACAACUCAUGGCCUUUCUAUUGCGAAAAGUGCUACUGAUAAUCUUACGAAAAAGAAUGAGAUGUUAAAUCAGGAAGUUGAAAGACUACGCGGACAGGUCGAUAGUCUGAGGCACCGGUGUGAGGUUCAAGAACUUGAGCUACAGAAGUCUGCCAAGAAAGUACAAGAGGCCAUGACGCUGGUUGCAGAGGAGUCUGCGAAGUCCAAAGCUGCAAAGGAAGUCAUAAAAGCCCUAACAGCACAGCUCAAGGACAUGGCUGAAAGACUGCCUCCAGAUGAUGGCAACGAUGCAAAGCAGUCACAGUUUCCAAACGGAAUCGAGUCUCAUGCUUCCAUUUACUCUAGCAUGGAUUUGGAUUCAGUUCACCAGUCACGGAAUGAGUCUAUCAAUGCAUUAAACAUGCCUAGCCUGCACACGGGACGAUCCUUGCACCCAAAUGGAAUCUCAGGUCAGCAGAGAUCGCCGGGUGUUAAUGAAAACAAUGAAGUGAGUGCUCACAGACACAGGGUUUCAAGCCCCCAUGACGGUGCACUUUCGAAUCGAAGAGCACACAGCAGUAGUGAUGACUUGUUCGCCUCGAGCCGCAGAGCGGCUGAUAGUGCUAGCAUGGAUACUAUGUCCCUCCAAAACGGCGAGGAUGGUUACAGAUCUCGAGGUACGUUGUCACUGUCCAGUACCGAAGUUAAGGCCGAAUGGAUUGAACAGUAUGAACAAGGUGUAUACAUAACACUGACGACGCUUCUUGACGGGACUCGGGAUCUGAAGAGGGUACGCUUCAGGUAA